GAUGAACGCUAGCGGCAGGCCUAACACAUGCAAGUCGAACGGCAGCACGGGAGCAAUCCUGGUGGCGAGUGGCGAACGGGUGAGUAAUAUAUCGGAACGUGCCCAGUCGUGGGGGAUAACGUAGCGAAAGCUACGCUAAUACCGCAUACGAUCUAUGGAUGAAAGCGGGGGAUCGCAAGACCUCGCGCGAUUGGAGCGGCCGACAUCAGAUUAGGUAGUUGGUGGGGUAAAAGCCUACCAAGCCUUCGAUCUGUAGCUGGUCUGAGAGGACGACCAGCCACACUGGAACUGAGACACGGUCCAGACUCCUACGGGAGGCGGCAGUGGGGAAUUUUGGACAAUGGGCGCAAGCCUGAUCCAGCAAUGCCGCGUGCAGGAUGAAGGCCU
This 387-nucleotide ribosomal RNA is filed under the name uncultured bacterium. RNAcentral's name for it is "bacterial SSU rRNA". It matches the Rfam family "Bacterial small subunit ribosomal RNA", at positions 28 to 417 of the family's 1533-position model. The record is from RNAcentral.